CCUGAGAAACCCAAAAGCUCGAAUGCGGAGAUUCAUCGUCAGCGAUACUGGUACGUGUGCGGUUCGCGAUGCGCCUUGACUUCGGUCCUGUGGCACGCGUCCGUAUGUUUUUAUUGCCUGGUAUCGUCGGCGUGCACUUCUCCGCUAGUAGGACGUCGCGACCCGUUGGGUGUCGGUCUACGGCCCGGGUGUAUGCCUGUCCCGUGUGCGCUUUACGGCGUCACCGCGGGGCAGACCCCGGCUGCCCGACCGGCUGCCCGGCGGUACUCAAAUGGUAUCUGGCCGCAAAUAUCUUAACUGCGUCCGGGCCGUCGCCAGCGAGGCGAGAUUUCCCGAAUGUACGGAUCUGAUGCCGUCAUCGGGGGUAGCCAGCUGUUGUUUGACGGUAUCCUAGGACUGGCUAUUAAAAUUGUGAUAUCGGUCAGCGACGCUUCUGCUUUGGGUACUUUCAGGA
Molecule: ribosomal RNA, 454 nt
Filed under: Theronia bicincta
Lineage: Eukaryota; Metazoa; Arthropoda; Insecta; Hymenoptera; Ichneumonidae
Description: partial 28S ribosomal RNA
Source: RNAcentral